This 474-nucleotide ribosomal RNA is filed under the name uncultured bacterium. RNAcentral describes it as "bacterial SSU rRNA". It matches the Rfam family "Bacterial small subunit ribosomal RNA", at positions 450 to 917 of the family's 1533-position model. The record is from RNAcentral.
UAUGUGUAAGUAACUGUGCACGUCUUGACGGUACCUAAUCAGAAAGCCACGGCUAACUACGUGCCAGCAGCCGCGGUAAUACGUAGGUGGCAAGCGUUAUCCGGAAUUAUUGGGCGUAAAGCGCGCGUAGGCGGUUUUUUAAGUCUGAUGUGAAAGCCCACGGCUCAACCGUGGAGGGUCAUUGGAAACUGGAAAACUUGAGUGCAGAAGAGGAAAGUGGAAUUCCAUGUGUAGCGGUGAAAUGCGCAAAGAUAUGGAGGAACACCAGUGGCGAAGGCGACUUUCUGGUCUGUAACUGACGCUGAUGUGCGAAAGCGUGGGGAUCAAACAGGAUUAGAUACCCUGGUAGUCCACGCCGUAAACGAUGAGUGCUAAGUGUUGGGGGGUUUCCGCCCCUUAGUGCUGCAGCUAACGCAUUAAGCACUCCGCCUGGGGAGUACGACCGCAAGGUUGAAACUCAAAGGAAUUGACGGA